UACGGAGGAUGCAAGCGUUAUCCGGAUUUAUUGGGUUUAAAGGGUGCGCAGGUUGUUUGAUAAGUCAGUGGUGAAAGUCUGUCGCUUAACGGUAGGAUUGCCAUUGAUACUGUUGGACUUGAAUAUGGAUGAGGUAGGCGGAAUGUGUAGUGUAGCGGUGAAAUGCAUAGAUAUUACACAGAACACCGAUUGCGAAGGCAGUCUUCCAAGCCGUUAUUGACGCUCAACUGCGAAGGUGUGGGUAUCAAACAGGAUUAGA
This 259-nucleotide ribosomal RNA is filed under the name uncultured prokaryote. RNAcentral's name for it is "partial 16S ribosomal RNA". It matches the Rfam family "Bacterial small subunit ribosomal RNA", at positions 524 to 782 of the family's 1533-position model. The record is from RNAcentral.